Boleophthalmus pectinirostris (great blue-spotted mudskipper) is the source of this 419-nucleotide long non-coding RNA. RefSeq lists it as uncharacterized. NCBI's taxonomy places the organism in Eukaryota, Metazoa, Chordata, Actinopteri, Gobiiformes, Gobiidae. The record is from RefSeq and is a predicted model, not a curated record. The transcript has 4 exons.
ACAGCUAUUCAAAUCAUGGGUGGCUAAAAUGUGUGUGUGGGUUCAUUUUGUUUUAGAGCUUUUAUCUGAGCAUGGUUCUGGACUUAAAACAUGUAUUAAGGAGGCGAGAGGCAAGUCUGCUUCCUGCUCUGGACCACUUCACCCCUGCCGCCUGCUGGGAUUUGACACAAGAGCUUCCAAUUACGAUGCUAUCUUUGUUAGCUCUAAGCCUGAUUUUUCCUAGAUUCCUAGACCUACUAUCAUGAAAAGAGCCUGUAGAAAGAUGUCAUCACAUGUUUCCAAACGUCUUUCUGGUUUGUGAAAGCCCAGCAGACAGCAGCAGAGACACAGGAGCUUCCUCUUCAAUCAUGGCAGUGGUGGGGUGCCGUGAGUCAUCCCAGUUCAAGAUAAAGUUGCAUUGUUUUCUUUUUCAUUCAGGC